UCCUGUUUUUCUUUCCUUCCUGUUUCGAUGGUGUUUUUAAAAUGCCUUUUCUUGUCUGGAACUAAAUUAAAUUCCAAAAUACCUAGUUAUUUUUGCCAAAUAAUAUCUGUAAUUGAUGUGGUGAGUGCUUGGAGAUGAUUUUCCAGAUAUUCUGAUUUGUCUACUGUUUAGUCGGCCGAUUUUUGUGUUCUAUCUUUUGUUUGACCGACUGCCAUCUUUCUUUUGCGACGACGCUGUCUUCACAUGGAAAUGCAUUUCAUGAAGUUACCAAGUUAAAUAAUGGCUAAAUAUUAAUAAUUACGGUGAACCGUGAUAUUCUAAACCCCCAUAACAUUGUGGCUGUUAUGAGGUUCAGGAAAUGUCUACCCUCCAACCACCCAUAUCAGCUCAUGUCAAAUCAAAUGGACUACGCCAGAAGACUCGCUCCGUCGCCCCUUCAUUCAGCUUCACCCACUUGAUCAUCGUUUCGCUACGGAGGUCGCCGGCUCGCUUCGCUCGCCACCUCCCCCUUCGCUAUUUAAUUUAGAAUUAACACUAAAUUAUUUUAAAAAGCAUUUAUUCAACUUUAUAUACAUAUUUUAUUGCCUUAAUCAUUUCUAUAAAAGGGUACAACUUUUUUUUGAACACUUCUCUCCGCCACAAAUAUUCCACACACAAAUCACUAAAGUUUUGUUGAUUGUUAUAAUUGUCUUUAUAGAAGAAUCUCUUCACCACUCGCCACUGUGACUAUACGCUGGGUAUGGGUACCAUCAGGAGCAAUGAAGGGAUUGUCUGGGUCGCUGUGAUUCACUUUUUUAUGAAUGUAACCAUGAUCACCCAGACAAUCGUGUGCCCUCCAAAAGUCCGUGUGAAUGGUUGUGCCCUUCUCUACAUGUUUUUCUGUUAGUGGCACCAAAACCUCUGCCGAUCUUAUAUUUUCUGGGCACACCUCCAACCGUAGAUCCUCACUACCAUCCUCUAUGAGGCCAAAAACCCAAUGUCCUUCAAUGUGUCUCCCUGAAACAAACAAAAAAGAUAUAUUAAAUCUUAACUCAAAGUAUUAUCAUAAUAUUAUUAUAGUGUGUGAGAGGUCGCUAUUAUCCAAUAGAACCUAAGUGCCCGGCCUAAACCUAACCUAACCUUUUGCUCUCUCCCCACUCUAAAACUAUAAAAUAAAAUUAGUUUACCUUUUGUCACAAAUAAAUUUUUCACCGGCCGAUAGGUAGGUGAAAAAUUUUAAAAAAUUAUUUAAAAAACAAAAAAAAAAUCGUUAUAGUUAGGUUAAGUUAUGAAUGACAAUGUAAAUCAAGUUAAUAAAUAAAAAAAAUAAACUACAAUGAAAUCUUACUUCCAGCUGACGAAAAUAUAAACGGAGAAUAGAUAUAGGAAAACCUUCGGGCGUAGAUAUAGGAAAACCUUCGGGCGCCAGCCAGCUGGAUAGAAAUCUGCUCAGAUAGACUCGCUGAAGCCUGGACUUUUAAUCGCAAGUCAGGGAUUUGGUCCUCCUAGCCGUGCUCUCUAUUCGAGCCGACAAUUGUAACAAAGAUUGGUGAAUAAAAAUCAAAGAAAUAUAUUUAGAAUUUAAAAUUAAUUUAUUAAAUUUCCAAAAUUUUGAGAUUUUAUUUACUAAAGAGAAAAAAAUACGACAAUUUAUAAUACCGUCCCUUUGUUCUUUGUCUUAACUUAAUGUCAUAUAUAUAGAAUACAAAGAUUUAAAAUAAACAAACUUAUAGUAACCUGGGCCACAUGGCCACACACGAGGUUAUAAAAA
Maniola jurtina (meadow brown) is the source of this 1750-nucleotide long non-coding RNA. RefSeq lists it as uncharacterized. The transcript is spliced from 2 exons. Lineage: Eukaryota; Metazoa; Arthropoda; Insecta; Lepidoptera; Nymphalidae. The record is from RefSeq and is a predicted model, not a curated record.